UGGGGAAUAUUGCACAAUGGGCGGAAGCCUGAUGCAGCGACGCCGCGUGCGGGAUGACGGCCUUCGGGUUGUAAACCGCUUUCAGUAGGGACGAAGCUUUUGUGACGGUACCUACAGAAGAAGCACCGGCUAACUACGUGCCAGCAGCCGCGGUAAUACGUAGGGUGCGAGCGUUGUCCGGAAUUAUUGGGCGUAAAGAGCUUGUAGGCGGUUUGUCGCGUCUGCUGUGAAAGCCCGGGGCUUAACCCUGGGUCUGCAGUGGGUACGGGCAGGCUAGAGUGUGGUAGGGGAGACUGGAAUUCCUGGUGUAGCGGUGGAAUGCGCAGAUAUCAGGAGGAACACCGAUGGCGAAGGCAGGUCUCUGGGCCAUUACUGACGCUGAGAAGCGAAAGCGUGGGGAGCGAACAGG
This 409-nucleotide ribosomal RNA is filed under the name Actinomycetes bacterium. RNAcentral describes it as "Actinobacteria bacterium partial 16S ribosomal RNA". It matches the Rfam family "Bacterial small subunit ribosomal RNA", at positions 355 to 776 of the family's 1533-position model. Lineage: Bacteria; Bacillati; Actinomycetota; Actinomycetes. The record is from RNAcentral.